RNAcentral lists this ribosomal RNA (207 nucleotides) under uncultured bacterium. RNAcentral's name for it is "partial 16S ribosomal RNA". It matches the Rfam family "Bacterial small subunit ribosomal RNA", at positions 568 to 774 of the family's 1533-position model. The record is from RNAcentral.
AGCGCAGGCGGGAAGACGAGUUGGAAGUGAAAUCUAUGGGCUCAACCCAUAAACUGCUUUCAAAACUGUUUUUCUUGAGUAGUGCAGAGGUAGGCGGAAUUCCCGGUGUAGCGGUGGAAUGCGUAGAUAUCGGGAGGAACACCAGUGGCGAAGGCGGCCUACUGGGCACCAACUGACGCUGAGGCUCGAAAGUGUGGGUAGCAAACA